This 586-nucleotide long non-coding RNA is filed under the name Coffea arabica (coffee). RNAcentral describes it as "long non-coding RNA (CARA_LNC001544)". The record is from RNAcentral. Lineage: Eukaryota; Viridiplantae; Streptophyta; Magnoliopsida; Gentianales; Rubiaceae.
AUUAACCAUCCUCAAAUUCUUCUUUCCAUUUUCAAUUCUUAAGUAUUUGCCUCCAUUACCAUGAAAAGAUCAAGUAAUUGCUCUAUUCAACAAUUUAAGGAUUCAACAUGAGGGAAUACGGAAAAAAGGCUGAGCACAUGAGAGCGGUAAAAAAGUACUACGCGCGGGUGUCGUGGGUGCUGAAAGAGCUCCAGCUUCAGCCAUGGCUUUAACUGAAGAACAACUAUUGGACCUUAACGACGUCGUCGACGAAGACAGAUACUACAACCAGCCAACCACAGAGCAUUAAUAUAGUUUUCAACAGUAACAAUGACGCUAAUGGACUAAAAAGCAAAAGCAGGAAAAAAAAAGGGAUAGAAUUCGGAGAACUGUUGAAUGCUAGUGUUGAAUACCUCCAGGUUGGAAGGAGAGCUGGUAUUUGUUAUUUGAACGAAGAGAGGAAGAGCAGCGACGGCGCGUGGAGCGCGAGGGACGGUGAGGACCGUGGCUAAAUAGGCUGCGUCAGUCGAGACAGGGGAAGGAGAGGCAACAGCUGCACUAAACCCCAGCAUCUUCACCAGCGGCUACUCGGGUUCGUCUGAACUUU